RNAcentral lists this ribosomal RNA (1152 nucleotides) under Candidatus Aerophobota bacterium. RNAcentral's name for it is "bacterial LSU rRNA". It matches the Rfam family "Bacterial large subunit ribosomal RNA", at positions 1769 to 2925 of the family's 2925-position model. Lineage: Bacteria; Candidatus Aerophobota. The record is from RNAcentral.
CUUGGUGGCCGCAGAGAAAUCGCCCAGGCGUCUGUUUAACAAAAACACAGCACUAUGCAAACACGUUAAGUGGAAGUAUAUGGUGUGAUGCCUGCCCAAUGCCAAAAGGUCAAGAGGAGAUGUUAGCACAUCGGUGCGAAGCAUUGAAUUUAAGCCCUGGUGAAUGGCGGCCGUAACUAUAACGGUCCUAAGGUAGCGAAAUUCCUUGUCGGGUAAGUUCCGACCUGCACGAAUGGCGUAACGAUCUGGGCGCUGUCUCAACCAGAGACUCGGUGAAAUUGUAGUAGCGGUGAAGAUGCCGUUUACCUGCAGCUAGACGGAAAGACCCCGUGAACCUUUACUGUAGUCUGAUAUUGGCUUUUGACUUGGCAUGUGUAGGAUAACCGGGAGAUAUCGAAAGAGGUUCGUCAGGAUCUCUGGAAUCAUCCUUGAAAUACCGGUUUUGUCAAGUCGAAAAUCUAACGAAAUCCCGUGAAUCCGGGAUUCGGACAUUGUCAGAUGGGCAGUUUGACUGGGGCGGUUUCCUCCUAAAGAGUAACGGAGGAGUCCAAAGCUUGUCUCAUCGUGGUUGGUAAUCACGAGUAGAGCGUAAAGGUAUAAGACAAGUUAACUGCGAGACCAACGAGUCGAGCAGAUACGAAAGUAGGGCUUAGUGAUCCGGCGGUAGAAUGUGGAAUUGCCGUCGCUUAACGGAUAAAAGGUACUCCGGGGAUAACAGGCUUAUCGCUACUAAGAGUUCAUAUCGACGUAGCGGUUUGGCACCUCGAUGUCGGCUCAUCGCAUCCUGGGGCUGUAGAAGGUCCCAAGGGUUUGGCUGUUCGCCAAUUAAAGCGGUACGCGAGCUGGGUUCAGAACGUCGUGAGACAGUUCGGUCCCUAUCUGCUGUAGGCGUAGGAUACUUGAGAAGAGCUGCUUCUAGUACGAGAGGACCGAAGUGGACAAACCAAUGGUGUUCCGGUUGUUCUGCCAAGAGCAUUGCCGGGUAGCUACGUUUGGAAAGGAUAAGCGUUGAAAGCAUCUAAACGCUAAGCCUCCUUCAAGAUAAGGUAUCCCUAUGAGACUCCCGGAAGACUACCGGGUUGAUAGGCUGGGUGUGUAAGCACAGCAAUGUGUUGAGCUAACCAGUACUAAUUAGUCCAACGGCUUGAUCUU